RNAcentral lists this ribosomal RNA (888 nucleotides) under Limosilactobacillus fermentum. RNAcentral describes it as "bacterial SSU rRNA". It matches the Rfam family "Bacterial small subunit ribosomal RNA", at positions 408 to 1290 of the family's 1533-position model. The record is from RNAcentral. Lineage: Bacteria; Bacillati; Bacillota; Bacilli; Lactobacillales; Lactobacillaceae.
GAGAAGGGUUUCGGCUCGUAAAGCUCUGUUGUUAAAGAAGAACACGUAUGAGAGUAACUGUUCAUACGUUGACGGUAUUUAACCAGAAAGUCACGGCUAACUACGUGCCAGCAGCCGCGGUAAUACGUAGGUGGCAAGCGUUAUCCGGAUUUAUUGGGCGUAAAGAGAGUGCAGGCGGUUUUCUAAGUCUGAUGUGAAAGCCUUCGGCUUAACCGGAGAAGUGCAUCGGAAACUGGAUAACUUGAGUGCAGAAGAGGGUAGUGGAACUCCAUGUGUAGCGGUGGAAUGCGUAGAUAUAUGGAAGAACACCAGUGGCGAAGGCGGCUACCUGGUCUGCAACUGACGCUGAGACUCGAAAGCAUGGGUAGCGAACAGGAUUAGAUACCCUGGUAGUCCAUGCCGUAAACGAUGAGUGCUAGGUGUUGGAGGGUUUCCGCCCUUCAGUGCCGGAGCUAACGCAUUAAGCACUCCGCCUGGGGAGUACGACCGCAAGGUUGAAACUCAAAGGAAUUGACGGGGGCCCGCACAAGCGGUGGAGCAUGUGGUUUAAUUCGAAGCUACGCGAAGAACCUUACCAGGUCUUGACAUCUUGCGCCAACCCUAGAGAUAGGGCGUUUCCUUCGGGAACGCAAUGACAGGUGGUGCAUGGUCGUCGUCAGCUCGUGUCGUGAGAUGUUGGGUUAAGUCCCGCAACGAGCGCAACCCUUGUUACUAGUUGCCAGCAUUAAGUUGGGCACUCUAGUGAGACUGCCGGUGACAAACCGGAGGAAGGUGGGGACGACGUCAGAUCAUCAUGCCCCUUAUGACCUGGGCUACACACGUGCUACAAUGGACGGUACAACGAGUCGCGAACUCGCGAGGGCAAGCAAAUCUCUUAAACCGUUCUCA